This 1059-nucleotide ribosomal RNA is filed under the name Bacillus zhangzhouensis. RNAcentral's name for it is "bacterial SSU rRNA". It matches the Rfam family "Bacterial small subunit ribosomal RNA", at positions 37 to 1075 of the family's 1533-position model. Lineage: Bacteria; Bacillati; Bacillota; Bacilli; Caryophanales; Bacillaceae. The record is from RNAcentral.
GGGCGGGGGGGCCUAUACUGCAAGUCGAGCGGACAGAAGGGAGCUUGCUCCCGGAUGUUAGCGGCGGACGGGUGAGUAACACGUGGGUAACCUGCCUGUAAGACUGGGAUAACUCCGGGAAACCGGAGCUAAUACCGGAUAGUUCCUUGAACCGCAUGGUUCAAGGAUGAAAGACGGUUUCGGCUGUCACUUACAGAUGGACCCGCGGCGCAUUAGCUAGUUGGUGGGGUAAUGGCUCACCAAGGCGACGAUGCGUAGCCGACCUGAGAGGGUGAUCGGCCACACUGGGACUGAGACACGGCCCAGACUCCUACGGGAGGCAGCAGUAGGGAAUCUUCCGCAAUGGACGAAAGUCUGACGGAGCAACGCCGCGUGAGUGAUGAAGGUUUUCGGAUCGUAAAGCUCUGUUGUUAGGGAAGAACAAGUGCGAGAGUAACUGCUCGCACCUUGACGGUACCUAACCAGAAAGCCACGGCUAACUACGUGCCAGCAGCCGCGGUAAUACGUAGGUGGCAAGCGUUGUCCGGAAUUAUUGGGCGUAAAGGGCUCGCAGGCGGUUUCUUAAGUCUGAUGUGAAAGCCCCCGGCUCAACCGGGGAGGGUCAUUGGAAACUGGGAAACUUGAGUGCAGAAGAGGAGAGUGGAAUUCCACGUGUAGCGGUGAAAUGCGUAGAGAUGUGGAGGAACACCAGUGGCGAAGGCGACUCUCUGGUCUGUAACUGACGCUGAGGAGCGAAAGCGUGGGGAGCGAACAGGAUUAGAUACCCUGGUAGUCCACGCCGUAAACGAUGAGUGCUAAGUGUUAGGGGGUUUCCGCCCCUUAGUGCUGCAGCUAACGCAUUAAGCACUCCGCCUGGGGAGUACGGUCGCAAGACUGAAACUCAAAGGAAUUGACGGGGGCCCGCACAAGCGUGGGAGCAUGUGGUUUAAUUCAAAGCAACGCGAAGAACCUUACCAGGUCUUGACAUCCUCUGACAACCCUAGAGAUAGGGCUUUCCCUUCCGGGAACAAAAUGACAGGGGGUGCAAGGUUGCCCGUCCCUCCCCGCCCCGAAAGGUUG